CCGGCUCAACCGGGGAGGGUCAUUGGAAACUGGGGAACUUGAGUGCAGAAGAGGAGAGUGGAAUUCCACGUGUAGCGGUGAAAUGCAUAGAGAUGUGGAGGAACACCAGUGGCGAAGGCGACUCUCUGGUCUGUAACUGACGCUGAGGCGCGAAAGCGUGGGGAGCGAACAGGAUUAGAUACCCUGGUAGUCCACGCCGUAAACGAUGAGUGCUAAGUGUUAGAGGGUUUCCGCCCUUUAGUGCUGCAGCAAACGCAUUAAGCACUCCGCCUGGGGAGUACGGUCGCAAGACUGAAACUCAAAGGAAUUGACGGGGGCCCGCACAAGCGGUGGAGCAUGUGGUUUAAUUCGAAGCAACGCGAAGAACCUUACCAGGUCUUGACAUCCUCUGACAACCCUAGAGAUAGGGCUUCCCCUUCGGGGGCAGAGUGACAGGUGGUGCAUGGUUGUCGUCAGCUCGUGUCGUGAGAUGUUGGGUUAAGUCCCGCAACGAGCGCAACCCUUGAUCUUAGUUGCCAGCAUUCAGUUGGGCACUCUAAGGUGACUGCCGGUGACAAACCGGAGGAAGGUGGGGAUGACGUCAAAUCAUCAUGCCCCUUAUGACCUGGGCUACACACGUGCUACAAUGGGCAGAACAAAGGGCAGCGAAGCCGCGAGGCUAAGCCAAUCCCACAAAUCUGUUCUCAGUUCGGAUCGCAGUCUGCAACUCGACUGCGUGAAGCUGGAAUCGCUAGUAAUCGCGGAUCAGCAUGCCGCGGUGAAUACGUUC
Molecule: ribosomal RNA, 769 nt
Filed under: Bacillus sp. SKS29
Lineage: Bacteria; Bacillati; Bacillota; Bacilli; Caryophanales; Bacillaceae
Description: bacterial SSU rRNA
Rfam family: Bacterial small subunit ribosomal RNA
Source: RNAcentral